This 417-nucleotide ribosomal RNA is filed under the name Halgerda tessellata. RNAcentral's name for it is "partial large subunit ribosomal RNA". It matches the Rfam family "Archaeal large subunit ribosomal RNA", at positions 1948 to 2665 of the family's 2987-position model. Lineage: Eukaryota; Metazoa; Mollusca; Gastropoda; Nudibranchia; Asteronotidae. The record is from RNAcentral.
AACCUGCCCAAUGUUAAAUUUAUCAAUGGCCGCGGUACUUUGACCGUGCUAAGGUAGCGCAAUAAAUUGGCUUUUAAUUGAAGCCAUGUAUGAAUGGAAUCACGGGGUUUAGCUGUCUCAUAUCUGAUUUAUCAAAAUUACUAUUUAGGUGAAAAAGCCUAAAGAAAGAAAAAAGACGAGAAGACCCUUAGAGUUUUACUAAAACUAGAAAUACAAAUCUAAAACAGUUUAGUUGGGGCAACAUAGGAACAUUUGAAUAAACCUCCUAUAAAUAACUUACCGAUAAUUAUAAAAAUGAACAAACUACCUUAGGGAUAACAGCAUAAUUUUAUAAAUAAGUUUGUGACCUCGAUGUUGGACUAGGAAACUAUAAGGCUAGCAGCCUUCUAGGUAAGUUCUGUUCGAACUAUUAUUCCU